RNAcentral lists this long non-coding RNA (1367 nucleotides) under Fukomys damarensis (Damara mole-rat). RNAcentral describes it as "lncRNA (ENSFDAG00000032260.1)". Lineage: Eukaryota; Metazoa; Chordata; Mammalia; Rodentia; Bathyergidae. The record is from RNAcentral.
UGUACUAUUAUAGUUUAUUCACACCAGAGAAACUAUUCGGUAUUUACACAUGUGUAAAUGAAUGUUUUUUUUUCUUUCUUUCUUCUUUUAGGCUCUUCACUGAUAUUUAUUCAUUUGGUCUUCAUUAACUCUUUUUUGGGGGUGGGUACCAGGGAUCAAACUUGAGACCUUGCACUUGCCAGGCAGGCGGCAGAACCGCUGAGCUAAAUCCCGGGCCCUGGUCUUCAUUAACUCUCAAACUACAGUUUUCUAUGGAAAGAUCUCCAAGCUACUCAGUCAGAAAUCCCAAUCCAUGGCAAUGAUCCUAAGGCCAACCCAUGUAGAUAUGUUAAAUGGCUGUAUUAGCAAAUAAUUCAUAUAUCAUGAAAUUUACAUAUUUAAGUAUACAAUUAAAUACUUUUCAUUGUACUUGUAGAUAUAUGUGACCUUCACUUUCAUCACCUCAAAAGAUCCUAUACUAUGGCUAUCACCCAUUUAUCCCUCUGUUUCCUCCCUACCCCAAUCCUAGCAUAUUUCAAUCUACUUUCAGUCUCCAUAGAUUUUUUCCAUUCUGUACAUUUUAUAACUGGACUCUAACUCCUACAAGGUAAAGGCUGUAGCUUGAAAAUGCUUGUGAUCUGCUAUGCUUGGCUAUCCUACCUUCUCUCCAGGAGACUUUUGGAUUUGUAAGAUCUUCUGUUUCAUCCCAUCCCUUUCUUCUUCAUCCUUCCAAGAUGGCACCAUUCCAGCUCAACCUGCAGGCUUUGGGCAUCACGUGGGAUAUGCAAAGGCUACCAGCAGAAGAGGGGCCUGCCUACAGCCAAGCUGUCUGAGCUGGUUCCACUUGUAAUGUGCCAUCUGUCUCGAUGCCCAUCAGCAGCCAGCAGCUGCCAGCCUGCUAGUGCCACAGGGACAAAGCAUCAGUUACCUGCUGGCCAUUUUCUACUCUCUGGAAACCCAUCAUCACACUCUUGAAGACAAACUGAGUGUGUAUGGUGAGUCUAGCUCUGGCUUUCUAGGGUGGAGGGAAAGGGCACACAGGUCCUUGCCUCUAAGAGCUUUUAGUUUAGCUGGCAGGGCUGAAAUGGCCUAAAGUGGAGCAUUAAGGAUACAAUAGUUGUACAUCCUGGCCCUUCUUCCUUCUCUGAGACACUCCUGUCUCUGGACAGAGCUUGAUCAUACACUGCUUUCUGUGGUUGCUUAUUUUCUUUGGUCCAGCACAGCCCAAUUCCAUCACAAUGACGCCAUCUUCCUACAAUAGAUCUAUGGCCCUUCCCCCAGGCCCGGCUGAGUCCUAGUCGGGAGAGCUUGUUUCUUUCUCUGUGCCGUGACUUUGCACAUUUCUGGUUUAGACUAUGCUGUAUUGAUGUCGCACUGUAACUCCCAGG